Molecule: RNA transcript, 845 nt
Organism: Cebus imitator (Panamanian white-faced capuchin)
Lineage: Eukaryota; Metazoa; Chordata; Mammalia; Primates; Cebidae
Gene name: 40S ribosomal protein SA-like
Exons: 1
Source: RefSeq, a predicted model, not a curated record
AUGGAACAGUACAUCGAUAAAAGGAAAAGUGAUGGCAUCUACAUCAAAUCUGAGGAGGACCUGGGAGAAGCUUCUGCUGGCAGCUCAUGCCAUUGUUGCCAUUGAAAACCCUGCUGAUGUAGGUGUCAUAUCCUCCAGGAAUACUGGCCAGAGGGCCGUGCUGAAGUUUGCUGCUCCACUGGAGCCACUCCAAUUGCUGCUGCUUCACUCCUGGAACCUUCACCAACCAGGUCCAGCAGCCUUCCGGGAGCCACGGCUCCUUGGGGUUCCUGACCCCAGGGCUGACCACCAGCCCCUCAUGGAGGCAUCUUAUGUUAACCUAUCUACCAUUGCUCUGUGUAACACAGAUUCCCCUCUGCGCUAUGUGGACAUUGCCAUCCCAUGCAACAACAAGGAGCUCACUCAGUGGGUUUGAUGUGGUGGAUGCUGGCUCGGGAAGUUCUGAGCAUGCGUGGCACCAUCUCCCGUGGACACCCUUGGAAGGUCAUUCCUGAUCUCUGCUUCUACAGAGAUCCUGAAGAGAUUGGGAAAGAAGAGCAGGCUGCUGCUGACAAGGCUGUGACCAAGGAGGAAUUUCAGGGUGAAUGAACUGCCCCAGCUCCUGAGUUCACUGCUGCUCAGCCUGAGGUUGCAGACUGGUCUGGGGGCAUGCGGGUGCCCUCUGUGUCUAUUCAGCAGUUCCCUACCGAAGACUGGAGCGUCAGCCUGCCGCGGGAGACUGGUCUGCAGCUCCCACUGCUCAGGCCACUGAAUGGGUAGGAGCAACCACUGAAUGGUCUUAAGCUGUUCUUGCGUGGGCUCUUCAACAACAUGGAAAUAAGGUUGAUGGAAAAUAAACAUCCGUU